UGCCAGCCGCCGCGGUAAUACGGAGGGUGCAAGCGUUGUUCGGAAUUAUUGGGCGUAAAGCGCGUGUAGGCGGUUCGUUAAGUCUGAUGUGAAAGCCCGGGGCUCAACCCCGGAAGUGCAUUGGAAACUGGCGAACUUGAGUACGGGAGAGGAAAGUGGAAUUCCGAGUGUAGGGGUGAAAUCCGUAGAUAUUAGAAAGAACACCAAAUGCGAAGGCAACUUACUGGGUCACUACUGACACUGAGGAGCGAAAGCAUGGGUAGCGAAGAGGAUUAGAUA
RNAcentral lists this ribosomal RNA (279 nucleotides) under uncultured bacterium. Its description in RNAcentral is "partial 16S ribosomal RNA". It matches the Rfam family "Bacterial small subunit ribosomal RNA", at positions 506 to 784 of the family's 1533-position model. The record is from RNAcentral.